Molecule: ribosomal RNA, 563 nt
Filed under: Limosilactobacillus fermentum
Lineage: Bacteria; Bacillati; Bacillota; Bacilli; Lactobacillales; Lactobacillaceae
Description: bacterial SSU rRNA
Rfam family: Bacterial small subunit ribosomal RNA
Source: RNAcentral
CUAUACAUGCAAGUCGACGCGUUACCCAAUUGAUUGAUGGUGCUUGCACCUGAUUGAUUUUGGUCGCCAACGAGUGGCGGACGGGUGAGUAACACGUAGGUAACCUGCCCAGAAGCGGGGGACAACAUUUGGAAACAGAUGCUAAUACCGCAUAACAACGUUGUUCGCAUGAACAACGCUUAAAAGAUGGCUUCUCGCUAUCACUUCUGGAUGGACCUGCGGUGCAUUAGCUUGUUGGUGGGGUAAUGGCCUACCAAGGCGAUGAUGCAUAGCCGAGUUGAGAGACUGAUCGGCCACAAUGGGACUGAGACACGGCCCAUACUCCUACGGGAGGCAGCAGUAGGGAAUCUUCCACAAUGGGCGCAAGCCUGAUGGAGCAACACCGCGUGAGUGAAGAAGGGUUUCGGCUCGUAAAGCUCUGUUGUUAAAGAAGAACACGUAUGAGAGUAACUGUUCAUACGUUGACGGUAUUUAACCAGAAAGUCACGGCUAACUACGUGCCAGCAGCCGCGGUAAUACGUAGGUGGCAAGCGUUAUCCGGAUUUAUUGGGCGUAAAGAGAGU